This 545-nucleotide ribosomal RNA is filed under the name uncultured bacterium. Its description in RNAcentral is "bacterial SSU rRNA". It matches the Rfam family "Bacterial small subunit ribosomal RNA", at positions 335 to 895 of the family's 1533-position model. The record is from RNAcentral.
ACUCCUACGGGAGGCAGCAGUGAGGAAUAUUGCACAAUGGGGGCAACCCUGAUGCAGCGACGCCGCGUGGAUGAUGAAGGCCUUCGGGUUGUAAAGUCCUUUUGCCACUGACGAGAACGGACGGUAGGUGGCGAAUAAGCCCCGGCUAACUACGUGCCAGCAGCCGCGGUAAAACGUAGGGGGCGAGCGUUAUCCGGAGUUACUGGGCGUAAAGGGUGUGUAGGCGGUGCUAUAAGUGGGGUGUGAAACACUCAGGCUAAACCUGGGAGGUGCGCCUCAGACUGUAGGACUAGAGUGGGAUAGAGGGGCGUGGAAUUCCGGGUGGAGCGGUGAAAUGUGUAGAGAUCCGGAGGAACACCAGAGGCGCAAGCGGCGCCCUGGGUCCCAACUGACGCUGAAACACGAAAGCUUGGGGAGCGAACGGGAUUAGAGACCCCGGUAGUCCAAGCCGUAAACGAUGCAGACUCGGUGUCCACCUUCGCAAGAGGGGGGGCGCCACAGCUAACGCGAUAAGUCUGCCGCCUGGGGAGUACGGUCGCAAGACU